CGGGACGUAGUUCAUCGGUAGAACGCUGGGUUCGGGACCUAGAGGUAGGGGGUCCAAUUCCCCCCGUCCCGA
This 72-nucleotide transfer RNA is filed under the name Candidatus Roizmanbacteria bacterium RIFCSPHIGHO2_01_FULL_39_24. Its description in RNAcentral is "tRNA-Pro". It matches the Rfam family "tRNA". From Rfam's summary of the family: Transfer RNA (tRNA) molecules are approximately 80 nucleotides in length. Their secondary structure includes four short double-helical elements and three loops (D, anti-codon, and T loops). The record is from RNAcentral. RNAcentral also lists the same sequence under 3 other names. Lineage: Bacteria; Candidatus Roizmaniibacteriota.